GUGGGGAAUAUUGCACAAUGGGGGGAACCCUGAUGCAGCGACGCCGAGUGAGGGAAGAAGGUUUUCGGAUUGUAAACCUCUGUCCUUGGUGAAGAAGAUGACGGUAGCCAAGGAGGAAGCUACGGCUAACUACGUGCCAGCAGCCGCGGUAAUACGUAGGUAGCGAGCGUUGUCCGGAAUUACUGGGUGUAAAGGGAGCGUAGGCGGGAUUGCAAGUUGAAUGUCAAAUCUAUGGGCUCAACCCGUAGUCGCGUUCAAAACUGUAAUUCUUGAGUGAAGUAGAGGCAGGCGGAAUUCCUAGUGUAGCGGUGAAAUGCGUAAAUAUUAGGAGGAACACCAGUGGCGAAGGCGGCCUGCUGGGCUUUAACUGACGCUGAGGCUCGAAAGCGUGGGUAGCAAACAGGA
This 405-nucleotide ribosomal RNA is filed under the name uncultured bacterium. RNAcentral describes it as "bacterial SSU rRNA". It matches the Rfam family "Bacterial small subunit ribosomal RNA", at positions 354 to 777 of the family's 1533-position model. The record is from RNAcentral.